AAGAAAGAAGUGCAAGAACUGCUAACUCCUGCCCACCAUGUAUAAAAACAUGGCUUUCUUA
Molecule: transfer RNA, 61 nt
Filed under: Calyptophractus retusus (Greater fairy armadillo)
Lineage: Eukaryota; Metazoa; Chordata; Mammalia; Cingulata; Chlamyphoridae
Description: tRNA-Ser
Source: RNAcentral